This 73-nucleotide transfer RNA is filed under the name Pseudobythopirellula maris. RNAcentral's name for it is "Planctomycetes bacterium Mal64 tRNA-Arg". It matches the Rfam family "tRNA". Rfam says of the family: Transfer RNA (tRNA) molecules are approximately 80 nucleotides in length. Their secondary structure includes four short double-helical elements and three loops (D, anti-codon, and T loops). Lineage: Bacteria; Pseudomonadati; Planctomycetota; Planctomycetia; Pirellulales; Lacipirellulaceae. The record is from RNAcentral.
UCCGGAGUAGUUCAAUGGGAGAACACUCGGCUUCGGACCGAGAGGGUGUUGGUUCGACUCCAACCUCCGGACC